This 400-nucleotide unclassified non-coding RNA is filed under the name soil metagenome. RNAcentral's name for it is "partial contains 5.8S ribosomal RNA, internal transcribed spacer 2, and large subunit ribosomal RNA". The stretch from base 1 to 122 matches the Rfam family "5.8S ribosomal RNA", at positions 35 to 154 of the family's 154-position model. The record is from RNAcentral.
GAUGAAGAACGUAGCGAAAUGCGAUACUUGGUGUGAAUUGCAGAAUCCCGUGAACCAUCGAGUCUUUGAACGCAAGUUGCGCCUCAAGCCAUUAGGUUGAGGGCACGUCUGCCUGGGCGUCACAUAUCGUUGCCUGAUGCCAGUUUCCUCGUGAUGGGUGACUGUGCAGGGCGAAUGAUGGCUUCCCGUGAGCAUUGUUGCCUCAUGGUUGGUUGAAAAUUGAGUCCUUGGUAGGGAGCGCCGUGAUAGAUGGUGGUUGAGUGACGAACGAGACCCAAUCAUGUGAGACCCCUACCGAAUUUGGCCUUCAUGACCCACAUGCGUCUUUGGAACGCUCAUGACGAGACCUCAGGUCAGGCGGGGCUACCCGCUGAGUUCAAGCAUAUCAAUAAGCGGAGGA